UCAAAAAAGCCGGAAUAGC
This 19-nucleotide transfer RNA is filed under the name Neodolichomitra yunnanensis. Its description in RNAcentral is "partial tRNA-Phe". Lineage: Eukaryota; Viridiplantae; Streptophyta; Bryopsida; Hypnales; Hylocomiaceae. The record is from RNAcentral. RNAcentral also lists the same sequence under 5 other names.